AAGAAUGUUAUCACGGGAGACACACGGCGGGUGCUAACGUCCGUCGUGAAGAGGGAAACAACCCAGACCGCCAGCUAAGGUCCCAAAGUCAUGGUUAAGUGGGAAACGAUGUGGGAAGGCACAGACAGCCAGGAUGUUGGCUUAGAAGCAGCCAUCAUUUAAAGAAAGCGUAAUAGCUCACUGGUCGAGUCGGCCUGCGCGGAAGAUGUAACGGGGCUAAACCAUGCACCGAAGCUGCGGCAGCGACACUAUGUGUUGUUGGGUAGGGGAGCGUUCUGUAAGCCUGCGAAGGUGGCCUGUGAGGGCUGCUGGAGGUAUCAGAAGUGCGAAUGCUGACAUAAGUAACGAUAAAGCGGGUGAAAAGCCCGCUCGCCGGAAGACCAAGGGUUCCUGUCCAACGUUAAUCGGGGCAGGGUGAGUCGACCCCUAAGGCGAGGCCGAAAGGCGUAGUCGAUGGGAAACAGGUUAAUAUUCCUGUACUUGGUGUUACUGCGAAGGGGGGACGGAGAAGGCUAUGUUAGCCGGGCGACGGUUGUCCCGGUUUAAGCAUGUAGGCGGAGGUUCCAGGUAAAUCCGGUACCUUUUAACGCUGAGGUGUGAUGACGAGGCACUACGGUGCUGAAGUAACAAAUGCCCUGCUUCCAGGAAAAGCCUCUAAGCAUCAGGUAACAUUAAAUCGUACCCCAAACCGACACAGGUGGUCAGGUAGAGAAUACCAAGGCGCUUGAGAGAACUCGGGUGAAGGAACUAGGCAAAAUGGUGCCGUAACUUCGGGAGAAGGCACGCUGGUGUGUAGGUGAAGUCCCUGCGGACGGAGCUGAGACCAGUCGAAGAUACCAGCUGGCUGCAACUGUUUAUUAAAAACACAGCACUGUGCAAACACGAAAGUGGACGUAUACGGUGUGACGCCUGCCCGGUGCCGGAAGGUUAAUUGAUGGGGUUAUCCGUAAGGAGAAGCUCUUGAUCGAAGCCCCGGUAAACGGCGGCCGUAACUAUAACGGUCCUAAGGUAGCGAAAUUCCUUGUCGGGUAAGUUCCGACCUGCACGAAUGGCGUAAUGAUGGCCAGGCUGUCUCCACCCGAGACUCAGUGAAAUUGAACUCGCUGUGAAGAUGCAGUGUACCCGCGGCAAGACGGAAAGACCCCGUGAACCUUUACUAUAGCUUGACACUGAACAUUGAGCCUUGAUGUGUAGGAUAGGUGGGAGGCUUUGAAGCGUGGACGCCAGUCUGCGUGGAGCCAACCUUGAAAUACCACCCUUUAAUGUUUGAUGUUCUAACGUAGGCCCCUUAUCGGGGUUGCGGACAGUGUCUGGUGGGUAGUUUGACUGGGGCGGUCUCCUCCCAAAGAGUAACGGAGGAGCACGAAGGUUAGCUAAUCCUGGUCGGACAUCAGGAGGUUAGUGCAAUGGCAUAAGCUAGCUUGACUGCGAGCGUGACGGCGCGAGCAGGUGCGAAAGCAGGUCAUAGUGAUCCGGUGGUUCUGAAUGGAAGGGCCAUCGCUCAACGGAUAAAAGGUACUCCGGGGAUAACAGGCUGAUACCGCCCAAGAGUUCAUAUCGACGGCGGUGUUUGGCACCUCGAUGUCGGCUCAUCACAUCCUGGGGCUGAAGUAGGUCCCAAGGGUAUGGCUGUUCGCCAUUUAAAGUGGUACGCGAGCUGGGUUUAGAACGUCGUGAGACAGUUCGGUCCCUAUCUGCCGUGGGCGCUGGAGAAUUGAGGGGGGCUGCUCCUAGUACGAGAGGACCGGAGUGGACGCAUCACUGGUGUUCGGGUUGUCAUGCCAAUGGCACUGCCCGGUAGCUAAAUGCGGAAGAGAUAAGUGCUGAAAGCAUCUAAGCACGAAACUUGCCCCGAGAUGAGUUCUCCCUGAGACUUUAAGUCUCCUGAAGGAACGUUGAAGACGACGACGUUGAUAGGCCGGGUGUGUAAGCGCAGCGAUGCGUUGAGCUAACCGGUACUAAUGAACCGUGAGGCUUAACCUU
This 1983-nucleotide ribosomal RNA is filed under the name Klebsiella pneumoniae. RNAcentral's name for it is "bacterial LSU rRNA". It matches the Rfam family "Bacterial large subunit ribosomal RNA", at positions 965 to 2925 of the family's 2925-position model. The record is from RNAcentral. Lineage: Bacteria; Pseudomonadati; Pseudomonadota; Gammaproteobacteria; Enterobacterales; Enterobacteriaceae. RNAcentral also lists the same sequence under 1 other name.